Molecule: non-coding RNA, 906 nt
Organism: Coffea arabica (coffee)
Lineage: Eukaryota; Viridiplantae; Streptophyta; Magnoliopsida; Gentianales; Rubiaceae
Source: RefSeq, a predicted model, not a curated record
GAACCCACUCAAUUCCUCGUUUAGAAAAAUGGAAACAGCUAAUGGCCCUCCUCGGAGACACAAACCACUUUAGAAGCCAGAAAAGAAAAGAAACAGCUAAUUGUCCUUCCUUCUUAGGAAUUUGAGCAUUCUGUUUUCAGGUUUCAACUUUGAAGAACCCCAACUGUCGUCAAAAUUAUGUCAAGUGAAUCAUUGCCUGCUGCACCAUCUAUCUCUAUCUUGGGUUCUACUCCAAUCUUCCAUGUCACAGCUGCGGACACCCUUGCCAGCUUUUCUGUUUUUCUUCAGCUUUUCUUGCCAAUUUGGCAAGUUCUUCACCUUAAUCCGACAUGUCACUCCUUUUUUUAAACUUGAGAAGGAAGAGCUUUAUGAAUAGGUAGGCGCAAAUGCAAAGUUGAGGGAAAAGUACUCUGGCUGACGAAAUCAGAUUCCUUCGAGUUGAAAAAGAAUGCCAAUUUUCUGUCAAGCCGUUUAUCAGCACUAGCAUCUUGUAUCGUUGUAUCAUACGUGCACUUGGUUGGAUGUGAAUGAUGGAGCUCAGGAUAUUGCAGGGACCUUUCAGAGGUGGAAGAUAACCAGAUAAACCAAAUAUUCCCAGCAUAUGUUUCUGAUUUUUUUUUUUUUUUGUUUUUUUUGGGGUUCAGUUUCUCGGCAAUAGAACAGCAUGUUCAUCUACAAAUUAUGUGGCGGAUAUAAAUAGGACUUCGGACUUAGAGAAAGAGGCCGAAUAUCUUUAUAGAUAAGUGUUGGGAAUUAUCUUUGACUCUAGAGAAGUGGCUGAUGGACAACUUAUAGUUUUCUUGUCAACUCUGUUAGAAAAUUUUUAUUUUUCCCAGGUAAGCGUUUCUUGUUGGGCGCAGAAAGAUGAGAUGACUUUUUACUUUAACAUUUAAUUUAAGUGGUGUU